GGGGAAAAAAUAAAGAAAAAGAAAAAGGGAAACAAAGGAAGCAGUUUUGUGCAAUUUGUUACAGAUAUUAAAUAAAAAUUUAUAUCUGCUCAGCCAAAUCUGAUACAAUGGAGAGAUAAUAAAAAUAACACUAAAACAAUAUCCCUUGCAGUUUAAAUUGCCAUUUUUCUAAUUCUUAGUAAAAAUUAUUAUAUCUGAUGCA
This 202-nucleotide unclassified non-coding RNA is filed under the name Hevea brasiliensis (rubber tree). Lineage: Eukaryota; Viridiplantae; Streptophyta; Magnoliopsida; Malpighiales; Euphorbiaceae. The record is from RNAcentral.